AGUGAACGCUGGCGGUAGGCCUAACACAUGCAAGUCGAACGGCAGCACAGUAAGAGCUUGCUCUUACGGGUGGCGAGUGGCGGACGGGUGAGGAAUACAUCGGAAUCUACUUUUUCGUGGGGGAUAACGUAGGGAAACUUACGCUAAUACCGCAUACGACCUACGGGUGAAAGCAGGGGAUCUUCGGACCUUGCGCGAUUGAAUGAGACGAUGUCGGAUUAGCUAGUUGGCGGGGUAAAGGCCCACCAAGGCGACGAUCCGUAGCUGGUCUGAGAGGAUGAUCGGCCACACUGGAACUGAGACACGGUCCAGACUCCUACGGGAGGCAGCAGUGGGGAAUAUUGGACAAUGGGCGCAAGCCUGAUCCAGCCAUACCGCGUGGGUGAAGAAGGCCUUCGGGUUGUAAAGCCCUUUUGUUGGGAAAGAAAAGCAGCAGGUGAAUACCCCGCUGUUCUGACGGUACCCAAAGAAUAAGCACCGGCUAACUUCGUG
RNAcentral lists this ribosomal RNA (492 nucleotides) under uncultured bacterium. Its description in RNAcentral is "partial 16S ribosomal RNA". It matches the Rfam family "Bacterial small subunit ribosomal RNA", at positions 29 to 507 of the family's 1533-position model. The record is from RNAcentral.